CCCUACGGGGCGCAGCAGGCGCGAAAACUUUACAAUGCGGGAAACCGUGAUAAGGGAACUCCGAGUGCCCGUAAAAUCGGGCUGUCCAUCUGUKUAAAUAACNGGUGAAGAAAGGGCCGGGCAAGACCGGUGCCAGCCGCCGCGGUAAUACCGGCGGCUCGAGUGGUGGCCACUAUUACUGGGCUUAAAGCGUUCGUAGCUGGUCUGUUAAGUCUCUGGGGAAAUCUACUGGCUUAACCAAUAGGCGUCUCAGGGAUACUGGCAGACUAGGGACCGGGAGAGGUGAGAGGUACUCCAGGGGUAGGAGUGAAAUCCUGUAAUCC
Molecule: ribosomal RNA, 323 nt
Filed under: uncultured archaeon
Lineage: Archaea
Description: bacterial SSU rRNA
Rfam family: Archaeal small subunit ribosomal RNA
Source: RNAcentral